CUGGGGUUUUGUUGUGCUUGGCCGCGAUCUCUUUAAUCUUGGGUUCAUCCAGAAGGGAAGGAUCCUCUGGCUUAGCCCUUGGCCUGCCAGGAAGGCCAAGG
Tinamus guttatus (white-throated tinamou) is the source of this 101-nucleotide non-coding RNA. The record is from RefSeq and is a predicted model, not a curated record. Lineage: Eukaryota; Metazoa; Chordata; Aves; Tinamiformes; Tinamidae.